UUCUUUAUAGUCUAUAUAUAUGUAAUCGAAAUUUGAUAUAAUUUAACACCCAAAUACGGGUAGAGCAAUUGCUCGAUGUGGAGUUGCGGUAUACAGCCGGGUACCGUGCUCAAUAGAUCGGAAGAGGAUUAAGAAAGGCCUCCUGCUAAACCAAGAUAGAAGGCACAACCCAGCUGUCGUGGCACCUGCGGAAUUGGGGUUCCAGGUGGCGACAAAAAAAUUUCAAGUCUCUGGACCUUUCAGUCUCUAAACGUUUUCAAUGGGCUAAGGGUAUCAAAAUAAACCGAAUAAUAAAAAGGCAGUUUCUAUGAAUUUCUGGCCGUAGCGUUCUUUCGGUGUGUCGAGGCUUACCUGCUACAGUUUCUGGAACUGACUCUUUUUGUCAUUAUUCCCAAGUUCUCCAGUUUCUGGUUUUAGCAUUUGGUGCACGUUUCGCGCUUUGCAUGAUUAAUUGUUUAUGCAAAUUGAUGUUUGCUUUUAAGGCAUAGAGCGAGAGAGAGAAAAAGGGGAGGGAGAAAGAGCGAGAGCAAGAGAGGAGGAGCUUGGUGGAGCAGAGCGAAAUAGAGGCAUUUGCAGCGUAUGUUGUUUGUAUAUUUUGCGUAGGCAACUUGAUAUUGGCAGUUUAUCAGCAUAGUUCAUUUCAUUUAUUGACUGUAUGCCAAUUUGUUUACCAUUUUAUUGUUAGCUGUAUCUAUAUAUGUAUGUAUACUUAUGCUGCCUGGGCUAGGCAUUAUCCCACUAUUACACAUGUACUGCUUAUGACUAUUCAAUUAAUACACAA
This is a long non-coding RNA of Drosophila novamexicana, 781 nucleotides long. RefSeq lists it as uncharacterized. The record is from RefSeq and is a predicted model, not a curated record. The transcript is spliced from 3 exons. NCBI's taxonomy places the organism in Eukaryota, Metazoa, Arthropoda, Insecta, Diptera, Drosophilidae.